RNAcentral lists this ribosomal RNA (305 nucleotides) under uncultured bacterium. Its description in RNAcentral is "bacterial SSU rRNA". It matches the Rfam family "Bacterial small subunit ribosomal RNA", at positions 334 to 655 of the family's 1533-position model. The record is from RNAcentral.
CUAUCCUACGGGGGGCAGCAGUGGGGAAUAUUGCACAAUGGGGGAAACCCUGAUGCAGCGACGCCGCGUGAGUGAAGAAGUAUUUCGGUAUGUAAAGCUCUAUCAGCAAGGAAGAAGCAAGACGGUACCUGACUAAGAAGCCCCGGCUAACUACGUGCCAGCAGCCGCGGUAAUACGUAGGGGGCAAGCGUUAUCCGGAUUUACUGGGUGUAAAGGGAGCGUAGACGGUCCUGCAAGCCAGAUGUGAAAGCCCGGGGCUCAACCCCGGGACUGCAUUUGGAACUGUAAGGCUAGAGUGUCGGAGG